AUUGAACGCUGGCGGCAUGCCUUACACAUGCAAGUCGAACGGCAGCGGACCUUCGGGUGCCGGCGAGUGGCGAACGGGUGAGUAAUAUAUCGGAACGUACCUUUCAGUGGGGGAUAACGUAGCGAAAGUUACGCUAAUACCGCAUAUUCUGUGAGCAGGAAAGCAGGGGAUCGCAAGACCUUGCGCUGAUUGAGCGGCCGAUAUCAGAUUAGCUAGUUGGUGAGGUAAAGGCUCACCAAGGCGACGAUCUGUAGCGGGUCUGAGAGGAUGAUCCGCCACACUGGAACUGAGACACGGUCCAGACUCCUACGGGAGGCAGCAGUGGGGAAUUUUGGACAAUGGGCGCAGGCCUGAUCCAGCCAUGCCGCGUGAGUGAAGAAGGCCUCGGUUGUAA
Molecule: ribosomal RNA, 394 nt
Filed under: uncultured bacterium
Lineage: Bacteria
Description: bacterial SSU rRNA
Rfam family: Bacterial small subunit ribosomal RNA
Source: RNAcentral